This 505-nucleotide unclassified non-coding RNA is filed under the name uncultured Glomus. RNAcentral's name for it is "SSU rRNA". It matches the Rfam family "Eukaryotic small subunit ribosomal RNA", at positions 569 to 1077 of the family's 1831-position model. Lineage: Eukaryota; Fungi; Glomeromycota; Glomeromycetes; Glomerales; Glomeraceae. The record is from RNAcentral.
AGCAGCCGCGGUAAUUCCAGCUCCAAUAGCGUAUAUUAAAGUUGUUGCAGUUAAAAAGCUCGUAGUUGAAUUUCGGGAUCAAAGGAUCGGUCAUGCCUUGGUAUGUACUGGUUUUAUUGGUUCUCACCUUCUAAAGAACCAUAAUGUCAUUCAUUUGAUGUUAUGGGGAAUUAGGACUGUUACCUUGAAAAAAUUAGAGUGUUUAAAGCAGGCUUACGCUUGAAUACAUUAGCAUGGAAUAAUGAAAUAGGACAUCAGAUUCUAUUUUGUUGGUUUCUAGGAUCGAUGUAAUGAUUAAUAGGGAUAGUUGGGGGCAUUAGUAUUCAAUUGUCAGAGGUGAAAUUCUUGGAUUUAUUGAAGACUAACUACUGCGAAAGCAUUUGCCAAGGAUGUUUUCAUUAAUCAAGAACGAAAGUUAGGGGAUCGAAGACGAUCAGAUACCGUCGUAGUCUUAACCAUAAACUAUGCCGACUAGGGAUCGGAUGAUGUUAAUUUANAAUGACUC